RNAcentral lists this ribosomal RNA (1106 nucleotides) under Microbacterium sp. RNAcentral's name for it is "bacterial SSU rRNA". It matches the Rfam family "Bacterial small subunit ribosomal RNA", at positions 391 to 1498 of the family's 1533-position model. Lineage: Bacteria; Bacillati; Actinomycetota; Actinomycetes; Micrococcales; Microbacteriaceae. The record is from RNAcentral.
GCGUGUCGAGGUGAUGAAAGGCCUUUCUGGUUGUAACCUCUAUGUAGCAGGGAAGAAGGGAAAGUGACUGGUACGUGCAGAAACAAGCGCCGGCUAACUACGUACAGCAAGCGCGGUAAUAAGUAGGGUAGCAAGCGAUGAUCUAGUAAUUAUUGAGUCGUAAAGAAGAUCGUAGGCGGUUUGUCGCGUAUGUUGUGAAAUCCAGAGGCUCAACCUCCCGGCGUGCAGUGGGUACGAGCAGAGUAGAGUGCGGUAGGAGAGAUUAGAAAUUCAUGGCGUAGCGGUGGAAUGAACAGAUAUCAGGAUGAACAACCAUCGCGAAGGCAGAUGUCUGUGCCGUAACUGACGGUGAGGAGGGAAAGGGUGGGGAGCAAACAAGCUUAGAUACCCUGGUAGUCCACCCCGUAAACGUUGGGAACUAGUUGUGGGGUCCAUUCCACGGAUUCCGUGACGCAGAAAACGCAUUAAGUUCCCCGCCUGGGGAGUACGGCCGCAAGGCUAAAACUCAAAGGAAUUGACGGGGACCCGCACAAGCGGCGGAGCAUGCGGAUUAAUUUGAUGCAACGCGAAGAACCUUACCAAGGCUUGACAUAUACGAGAACGGGCCAGAAAUGGUCAACUCUUUGGACACUCGUAAACAGGUGGUGCAUGGUUGUCGUCAGCUCGUGUCGUGAGAUGUUGGGUUAAGUCCCGCAACGAGCGCAACCCUCCUUGUAUGUUGCCAGCACGUAAUGGUGGGAACUCAUGGGAUACUGCCGGGGUCAACUCGGAGGAAGGUGGGGAUGACGUCAAAUCAUCAUGCCCCUUAUGUCUUGGGGUUCACGCAUGUUACAAUGGCCGGUACAAAGGGCUGCAAUACCGCGAGGGGGAGAGAAUCCCAAAAAGCCGGUCCCAGUUCGGAUUGAGGUCUGCAACUUGACCUCAUGAAGUCGGAGUCGGUAGUAAUCGCAGAUCAGCAACGCUGCGGUGAAUACGUUCCCGGGUCCUUGUACACACCGCCCGUCAAGUCAUGAAAAUCGGUAACACCUGAAGCCGGUGGCGUAACCCUUGUGGAGGGAGCCGUCGAAGGUGGGAUCAGGUAAUUAGGACUAAGUCGUAAUCAACGA